GACGAACGCUGGCGGCGUGCUUAACACAUGCAAGUCGAACGGUAAGGCCCUUCGGGGUACACGAGUGGCGAACGGGUGAGUAACACGUGGGUGAUCUGCCCUGCACUUCGGGAUAAGCCUGGGAAACUGGGUCUAAUACCGGAUAGGACCACUGCCUGCAUGGGUGGUGGUGGAAAGCUUUUGCGGCGUGGGAUGGGCCCGCGGCCUAUCAGCUUGUUGGUGGGGUGAUGGCCUACCAAGGCGACGACGGGUAGCCGGCCUGAGAGGGUGACCGGCAACAGUAGGACUGAGAUACGGCCCAGACUCCUACGGGAGGCAGCAGUGGGGAAUAUUGCACAAUGGGCGCAAGCCUGAUGCAGCGACGCCGCGUGAGGGAUGACGGCCUUCGGGUUGUAAACCUCUUUCAGCACCGACGAAGCGCAAGUGACGGUAGGUGCAGAAGAAGGACCGGCCAACUACGUGCCAGCAGCCGCCGCCG
RNAcentral lists this ribosomal RNA (478 nucleotides) under uncultured bacterium. Its description in RNAcentral is "partial 16S ribosomal RNA". It matches the Rfam family "Bacterial small subunit ribosomal RNA", at positions 28 to 523 of the family's 1533-position model. The record is from RNAcentral.